This 234-nucleotide ribosomal RNA is filed under the name Triticum aestivum (bread wheat). Its description in RNAcentral is "partial small subunit ribosomal RNA". The record is from RNAcentral. Lineage: Eukaryota; Viridiplantae; Streptophyta; Magnoliopsida; Poales; Poaceae.
AUGUCAUAUUAUACAAUUGCAGGAAGACAAAAGCAGAAUCCAAGAGUCUGAUGUCAUCAUAACCAUCAAAUGAAACGAAAAUUAGUGAGUGCCACAUGGACGCGAGGGGACAUCAUUCAGUUGGCAAACUCAAGGAGAGAUCUAGCAUCACUGAAUCAGUCAUCUGAGCUGAAUUGUCAUGUACUCAUGUGGCAACAAUACAUUCAGCAGCCUUUUUUUUACAGAUUUAAUUAG